AUAGCAUCUUAAACAGGUCGUGGCCUCUGAGCAGUAGGCCAGGAUUUGGUAGCUGGUGCUUAAAUCAAUUCUCUCUUGCAACAAUCCCACUAGCAAAUGCUGAGCUUUCUGGGACUACUAGAGAGAGGUACAAAC
Molecule: small nucleolar RNA, 135 nt
Organism: Seriola dumerili (greater amberjack)
Lineage: Eukaryota; Metazoa; Chordata; Actinopteri; Carangiformes; Carangidae
Source: Ensembl